Molecule: long non-coding RNA, 319 nt
Organism: Mugil cephalus (flathead mullet)
Lineage: Eukaryota; Metazoa; Chordata; Actinopteri; Mugiliformes; Mugilidae
Exons: 2
Source: RefSeq, a predicted model, not a curated record
ACAUGUACUGCGUGCAGAAGUGGGAAAACACUGGAAGGCCGAAUGAUAUGAUUGUAUUGAGAACAACAUGUACUUAAAGGUCACAAUGUAUUUUCUGAAGAUGUCUCGCGGGGGGAGCAGGACGCGCCGGACCACAAUCUAACAGAGAAAGUGUGUCAAAGAGGAGAAGUAGAGGAGCCUAUCAGGAGUAGACAAACACCCUAGACUGUAGGAAUAGAAAAGAACUGCUCCCGCGAAGGCAACUCAGAUCCAGACUCAUAUCUUUGUAUGUACUGUGGUCUCCACACUCUGCAGACUGUGAAUAAAUACUCGUACUCGA